AGCGAACGCUGGCGGCAGGCUUAACACAUGCAAGUCGAGCGGGCACUUUCGGGUGUCAGCGGCGGACGGGUGCGUAACGCGUGGGAACGUGCCCUCUGGUUCGGAAUAACUCAGGGAAACUUGAGCUAAUACCGGAUACGCCCUUUUGGGGAAAGGCUUGCUGCCGGAGGAUCGGCCCGCGUCUGAUUAGCUAGUUGGUGAGGUAACGGCUCACCAAGGCGACGAUCAGUAGCUGGUCUGAGAGGAUGAUCAGCCACACUGGGACUGAGACACGGCCCAGACUCCUACGGGAGGCAGCAGUGGGGAAUAUUGGACAAUGGGCGCAAGCCUGAUCCAGCCAUGCCGCGUGAGUGAUGAAGGCCUUGGGGUUGUAAAGCUCUUUUAUCCGGGACGAUAAUGACGGUACCGGAGGAAUAAGCCCCGGCUAACUUCGUG
This 435-nucleotide ribosomal RNA is filed under the name uncultured bacterium. Its description in RNAcentral is "partial 16S ribosomal RNA". It matches the Rfam family "Bacterial small subunit ribosomal RNA", at positions 29 to 507 of the family's 1533-position model. The record is from RNAcentral.